GACGAACGCUGGCGGCGUGCUUAACACAUGCAAGUCGAACGGAAAGGCCCUGCUUUUGUGGGGUUCUCGAUUGGCGAACGGGUGAGUAACACGUGAGUAACCUGCCCUUGACUUUGGGAUAACUUCAGGAAACUGGGGCUAAUACCGGAUAUGAGCUCCUGCUCCGUGGUGGUGGUUGGAAAGUUUCGGCGGUUGGGGAUGGACUCGCGGCUUAUCAGCUUGUUUGUUGGGUAGUGGCUUACCAAGGCUUUGACGGGUAGCCGGCCUGAGAGGGUGACCGGCCACAUUGGGACUGAGAUACGGACCAGACUCGUACGGGAGGCAGCAGUGGGGAAUAUUGCACAAUGGGCGGAAGCCUGAUGCAGCAACGCCGCGUGCGGGAUGCCGGCCUUCGGGUUGUAAACCGAUUUCGAAUGUGACGAAGCGUGAGUGACGGUAAUGGGUAAAGAAGCAACGGCUAACUACGUG
RNAcentral lists this ribosomal RNA (468 nucleotides) under uncultured bacterium. RNAcentral's name for it is "partial 16S ribosomal RNA". It matches the Rfam family "Bacterial small subunit ribosomal RNA", at positions 28 to 507 of the family's 1533-position model. The record is from RNAcentral.